This 277-nucleotide long non-coding RNA is filed under the name Elaeis guineensis (African oil palm). RNAcentral's name for it is "long non-coding RNA (EGUI_LNC043948)". The record is from RNAcentral. Lineage: Eukaryota; Viridiplantae; Streptophyta; Magnoliopsida; Arecales; Arecaceae.
CUCGAACAUCCAGCCCUAUCAAAAGUUUAGAUUGGGCCUCUACUUAGGAUGGCUGGCCUUCUGCUUGAAGCUUGGCAGCAAAACACUGGCGAUCCUUGGCCUGAUUGCCUCAGAUCUGCCCUACUCCAUUCUUAGUUGGAAACUUCACCAUUAAGUGAUAGCUCGACACUACGGCCUUUAAAGUCCAUAAACUUGGAUGGCCAAGGAUUGUAUUGUAGGCCGAAGGAAGUUUAAACAUCAGAAAGUUGACUUGGAUCAUUGUUCGCUGUGGUGGGGU